RNAcentral lists this ribosomal RNA (523 nucleotides) under uncultured bacterium. RNAcentral's name for it is "bacterial SSU rRNA". It matches the Rfam family "Bacterial small subunit ribosomal RNA", at positions 355 to 895 of the family's 1533-position model. The record is from RNAcentral.
UGGGGAAUAUUGGACAAUGGGGGAAACCCUGAUCCAGCGACGCCGCGUGAGUGAAGAAGUAUUUCGGUAUGUAAAGCUCUAUCAGCAGGGAAGAAAAUGACGGUACCUGACUAAGAAACCCCGGCUAACUACGUGCCAGCAGCCGCGGUAAUACGUAGGGGGCAAGCGUUAUCCGGAUUUACUGGGUGUAAAGGGAGCGCAGACGGCGAAGCAAGUCUGAAGUGAAAUUCAUGGGCUCAACCCAUGGAUUGCUUUGGAAACUGUUUGGCUUGAGUGUCGGAGGGGUAAGCGGAAUUCCUAGUGUAGCGGUGAAAUGCGUAGAUAUUAGGAGGAACACCGGAGGCGAAGGCGGCUUACUGGACGACAACUGACGUUGAGGCUCGAAGGCGUGGGGAGCAAACAGGAUUAGAUACCCUGGUAGUCCACGCAGUAACGAUGAAUACUUGGUGUCGGGGAGGUAAACUCUUCGGUGCCGCAAGCAAACGCAUUAAGUAUUCCACCUGGGGAGUACGUUCGCAAGAAU